Molecule: long non-coding RNA, 280 nt
Filed under: Bos taurus (domestic cattle)
Lineage: Eukaryota; Metazoa; Chordata; Mammalia; Artiodactyla; Bovidae
Description: long non-coding RNA NONBTAT011662
Source: RNAcentral
CCUCUCGUGAUAUGAUAGCUGGCACACCAAACCUAACCACAACAGUGGGUUUAAACAACUGCCUUAGAUUGUUCCUUGUUUAUCAUCCAUGCAUCGACCUGUCUACUUAUUUUAAAUAAAAAGUGUCCUAUACACCUUGGCAAAUUUUUGUAUAUUAUAGAAGGAGUGAUAGUGACAAGCAAACUCUCUUUUCCUGCUCAUCCUAUUUCCCUACUUUCUCUUCCAAAUUUUUAAGGUAUAUUUCAACAAAUAUUUCUUGCAAAAAAGCAUUGUGUUCAUU